This 202-nucleotide long non-coding RNA is filed under the name Elaeis guineensis (African oil palm). RNAcentral describes it as "long non-coding RNA (EGUI_LNC044862)". The record is from RNAcentral. Lineage: Eukaryota; Viridiplantae; Streptophyta; Magnoliopsida; Arecales; Arecaceae.
CUUGAUCAUAACAGGAGCUCAACCAAUAUGGUCCACAACUAAGCCUACUGUGCAAUCGGUUAUAAAUUAUUUGAAAUAUGAUUGGAUUAACUCCCAUGUUUUUUGUGAUGAAGUGACAAAGCCAUAAGGUUUGCCUUUUGAGUGUGGGACUAAAAGGAAAUGCCCAUGAUCAUGGUACUUUGAUUAAAGAAACCCUGGGUAA